UGAUAAUAAGUUUAUAUACAUGCGAUUAAUAAUAAUAUUUAUAAGAAUAAUUAUAUAUAUGGUGGAUAAAUAUGUAUAUAUUUGACUUAGUCUGGUACCAUGGAAUCAUGAACCUCUCUCCUCUCUCCGUUUUCUCUCCAAAAAACUUUUUACAGAGGUGACGUUGAGAGGGGUUCAUGAUUACGCCGGUUCCUUCUCUGCCUCUGAUUCCCGGUGAUCGGGUUUCGACUCUGGCAAGCGGCAGAUUCUUCAGCGACAACUUGACCGGCUUCUUUUUCAGCAGGCGAUGGCUCCUUCAGCGUUGCUUGGCUGGCUCUACCUCCGGCGUCACACCUUUCUUUCCGGUGCGGCGGUUGGCUUCUCGUCGGUUUAUCCCACUUUUAUAUUUUGUUUUUUUAUUUGUUUUCUUUCUCUGUUCCUCGCCUCCAUGUCCUCUCACAGAUUCAGUUUGAGUUUCGAUCUUCAUCGGAAUAGGUCUUCCUUCCCCUAUUAUGGGAUUGGUUCAUCUUCGGUCUUAUUAGAAUCAAUAAAAAUGAUCUGUUGUGGAUUAGGAGUUUCUGAUGACUUAGAUCGAUUUCCUUCAACUAAAUCACUUUCAUCUUUGAUGUGAUGGCAUCUCGCCUUUUUCUGCUUGUGUCGUUGUUAGAUGUGUCGCCCGUGCAUCCUAUUCCGGUAUGUUUCCGUGGAUACCGAUUUGACUUCCGACGACGACUUCAAUGGCGGUGUAAGGAGCUGAUGUAAUCCUCUCUCCGCGCGUUUCUCUUCUUCGUUUUCGUGAGUAGACGUGGUGUCGAUCAAGAUCAGUUGUUGGGCUCCCUUGUUGGGCUUUCUCGGCUGGAUUUUUGUUUUAUCCCUUUAAUUAUUUGUUAAUUUUGCCAUUUUAAUGGACUUUUUUGUAAAUUUGGCAUUUGUUAAUAAAAUACCAGUGGCAAAAAAAACAGAGGCUCUGGCAUGAUUAGAUACUUCGCUGGAUUGCGCUAGCGUACGACGUACAUACAGCAAAGCAACCGUCUCCACCCACUAACUGCUUGACAGCUCACCAGAAAACUCCACUAGUCUGCUUGUCUACAGUAGACCUGUCACACAUGAUUACACCAAACGUGCAUUACUUCUUCCGUUACUGCACCCUGAACUUCCGAAAAAUCCUACAAUAACCCCAAAUAUUUAUAAUCUGAUCAACUUUUACCCACAUCAAUCAACUUAUUUGCUAUAACCAAGGGUGAUAACUGUAAAUAUAUAAAAUGCAGGGUCUAAAACUAUAAACAAAAUAAAAUAAUAUCCACCAAAUUUUUAUUUUAUUUUUUUUCCGAGCAGCAAUCAACUUCUUUUAGCUGUUCUCCAGAAACACUUUCAAUCUCCUUCGGAAAGAAAAAGAAGAAGAAGAAGCAGACUCGGUUUAGCUUUUGUAAGAGAAGCAAAAGUGAUAAAUCUCUGAGCUUUAAACUUUUUUAAUCUGAUCUUGAGAGAUGGCGGUUGCUCCGGCGAGAGCUCGUUCGGACUAUGAUUACCUCAUCAAGCUCCUUCUCAUCGGCGACAGCGGUAAGCUUCUUCUUCUUCUUCUUCUCUCUCUCUUUAGUACAUAAAGUAAGCAACUUUGAAAACUUACAUGUGCUCGAUUGCUUUCUCCGACAACAUCUCGUACCUGUCUUUUUGCGAUUUUA
Molecule: long non-coding RNA, 1661 nt
Filed under: Brassica napus (rape)
Lineage: Eukaryota; Viridiplantae; Streptophyta; Magnoliopsida; Brassicales; Brassicaceae
Description: long non-coding RNA (BNAP_LNC012559)
Source: RNAcentral